This 498-nucleotide ribosomal RNA is filed under the name uncultured bacterium. RNAcentral describes it as "bacterial SSU rRNA". It matches the Rfam family "Bacterial small subunit ribosomal RNA", at positions 25 to 518 of the family's 1533-position model. The record is from RNAcentral.
CAGGACGAACGCUGGCGGCGUAGCUUAACACAUGCAAGUCGAACGAGAAUCUGUGGAUUAGAGGUUUCGGCCAAUUGAAGCAGAGGAAAGUGGCGGACGGGUGAGUAACGCGUGAGGAACCUGCCUUUCAGAGGGGGACAACAGUUGGAAACGACUGCUAAUACCGCAUGAUGCAGUAGAGGUCGCAUGGCCUUUAUGCCAAAGAUUUAUCGCUGAAAGAUGGCCUCGCGUCUGAUUAGCUAGUUGGUGAGGUAACGGCCCACCAAGGCGACGAUCAGUAGCCGGACUGAGAGGUUGAACGGCCACAUUGGGACUGAGAUACGGCCCAGACUCCUACGGGAGGCAGCAGUGGGGAAUAUUGGGCAAUGGGCGCAAAGCCUGACCCAGCAACGCCGCGUGAAGGAAGAAGGCUUUCGGGUUGUAAACUUCUUUUGUUGGGGACGAGUAGAAGACGGUACCUGACGAAUAAGCCACGGCUAACUACGUGCCAGCAGCAGC